CAUAGGUGUUUGCGGAAGUGUCAUACUGAGUUGUUUAAGUUUCCUGUGAGUGAAAUAGUGUUAAGAAUUACCACUGGGAUAUUUUUAUAGUUUUUGUAAUGAUUGUAUUUGAAGAAACUUGUUCAAUAUGUCACAGUAAAUUUAAAUAAGUUAUUUUACACGUUUGAGAUUAGACUGUGGAAUUAUGGAUUUAACUAACAAGGUGCCUUAGAUCAGCUGAAUUGUGGGGUCUGAUGCUUGUUUAUACAGUAGGUUGUUUAACUAAUUCUAAGGAAGGAUUUCAUCAACAUUGUUCAAAUGGAAGGAAGAAGGAAACUCUCCAAAUUAGUGAUAAACACAGAAGAAGGAAAUAUCCCUUCUGUCACCCCUCCAAGGAAUCUGGAUAAACGAACAACAGUCACAAUUGACGAUCAAGUAGUUGAAGUAGAAGCAGAUGAUUUGGAAACUUUGUGUACAUUGGGUAGAGGUGCGUACGGUGUUGUAGAGAAGAUGCUGCACAGACCAAGUGGAACAGUAAUGGCAGUAAAGAGGAUUACUGCAACUUUCAGUAGUUCGGAAGAGAAGCGACUUCUGAGGGAAUUGGAUAUCUCUAUGAGAAGUGGUGAUUGUGAUUUUACCGUACAAUUCUAUGGAGCUCUCUUUAGAGAGGGUGAUGUGUGGAUUUGUAUGGAAGUAAUGGAUACUUCUCUCGACAAAUUCUCCCAGUUAGUGUACAAGGCCAAUAGAACCAUUCCUGAAAACAUUCUUGGACAGAUUGCAUUUGCUGUUGUAAGUGCUCUGCGUUAUCUACAUAAAAAUUUGCGAGUCAUGCACCGUGAUGUAAAGCCUUCCAAUAUUUUGGUCAGCAGAAAAGGAGAGGUCAAGAUGUGUGACUUUGGGAUCUCGGGUCAGUUAGUGGACUCCUUAGCUAAAACCAUGGAAGCUGGUUGCAAACCCUACAUGGCUCCUGAAAGAAUAAAUCCAGAGCGCCAAGGCCGUGGAUAUGACAUUCGUUCUGACAUAUGGAGCCUAGGAAUAACAAUGAUUGAACUGGCAACAGGGAAAUUUCCAUAUUCAACCUGGGGAACUCCGUUUGAACAAUUGAAACAGGUAGUCAAAGACGAUCCUCCUAGUCUUCCUCCUGAUCAGUUUACUAAUGAGUUUGAAGAAUUCAUUAAUCAGUGCCUGCAAAAGGACUACACGAAGAGGCCUUACUACAGCCAGCUCUUGAAACAUCCCUUCCUGACAACACACUCACAACUAGACUCCUCUUUAGCAGAAUUUGUGAAUGAAAUUCUUGACUCUGUACAUGACUACCCUACUGAGAGUCAAUAAUUAUCAUCACUUUAUAACGGAAUUAAUUUUGCCACUUGACUGCUCCGACUGACGGGCAAUAAUGAUCAUCAGUGAAUAACGGAAUUAAUUUUGCCACUUCACAAGUAGGGUGAAAUAGUUGUUAAAAAAGCAUUCCUUCAUAAAAUUCAUACUUCAGAUUUUGCCAUGAAAAUAUUGUGUACCCACUAUGUUCAUGCAGCUUUCAUUUAGUGAUUUCAUUAAUUCUUAAUUAGAGGAGAAAGAAGUUGCUUCAUAUAUGUAUCAUUCAUCGUGUGGUUUUUGGUUUUAAAAUAACUUAAGUACACGUAGUACAUUUCCAGAAUCCCAUGUUUAACCACCCACUGGCAAUUAGAUCAUCUGAAAAUGAAAGCUUUAAAAUUCUUUAUAUUUCUAUUAGGGGCCUCAUUUUAACAUGAAAAAGUAUAAAAUUUGUAGCAUAAUUAAUGAUGACCCUUUUGUUUUUUUUAUCGUUAUCACUUCACUAAUGAGUUUGAAGAAUUCAUCAAUCAGUGGUGAGAAUCUACUUUUGAAGUAUUUUUUUAAGCGCUGAACUGAAAUAGCUUGUCGUUCUCAUAGAUUUAUUAUUCAGUGAAAUUAGACAUGCUUCAUAAAAUAUCAAAAAUAGGUUAUACCAUCAGAACUCCUGGAGAGUCUCAAACACUGUCAGUGUAUUCACACCAGGCUACUUACCACACCACUGACAUUUCAAAUAUUCCUAAUUCAUGGAUGAUGUAUGGAAAAACGUGUACAAGACAGGCGGUGUUACUCAGAAGCAAGAUGCAUCAUAUUUACUUGUAUCGAUUAUGAAGUGUAAAAAUGUGUGUAACCAUGAAAUAUUGAACAUGUAAGAGUAAUAAUGUUCCAAAUGUUGUUAGUAUUCAGUUAAUAGUUAAGGAGUAAUUGUGUAAUAGAUUACUACCCUGAUAAUGAGUUUGUUUGGUGGAGCUGCUUGAAACAGUAGUGCUACUGUUUGCUUGUCUUUACAUUGCAAGAAGUGGACUAUUGUAUGUGUGCUGUCUUAUUACAACAAAGAUGCAUGUUUAGUUAAUUCUGACUAAAAUAUUUUCAUCGUAUUGAACACGCUGAUGAUGUGCAUAGUAUCGAUUGUUAUUACUAAUGUGAAAACUCUGUAGUCUUAGGUGUAACUAUUUGUAAAGUAGAUACUCAAACAUUGCAUUCCUAUUCAGCUUAAUUAAAAUUGAAUUGUUUGUACAUGGACAGUACAUGAAAAAAAUACUGAAAUGGUGUUAGAUUUUACUAAAUCAUGUAAUGGGAACAUUGUUGGCCAAUUACCUUUUACAAACCUGUUUUUAAUUAAUACUAGCUAACCAGUGGGCCUAUAGCCCACAUUUACAGGGCUGCUAUAAUGCAAAUUUAAUGCUUGAACUACUGUUUUUUGCACUUUAUUCAAUUUAAUUGUCACUAUAAUGCAAAUUUAAUAUUCUUAAGCAAGUUAUGAAUGGUAAUUAUUAGGCCUACUUAUUUACAUAGGUGUUUAAUAACGAGUUGGGUGAAAAGUUUUAUAUUUGUGCAAACCACAGGACCAAAAUGAAUUAUUUGGCACCACUUAGAAGUUGAUGAAUUCAACAGUUCAGGAGAAGAGGUUUUGGGGAAAUCCCAAGAGGGGGGUGGUGAAAUAUUUUACCUUCGUGCAAACCUCUUGACCAAGACAAUUCCUUUGGUACCACUUAGAAGUUGGUGCAACAAGUGAUAUAGGAGGAGGUACAUGACACACAUACAUACACUGAAUCUUAUUAUAUAGAUAUUAAAUUUGUUUUCACAACAUCUUGUACCAAAGUUUAAUGAUGAAUAAAUUAAUUUUCAAAACAGUUUGCAGCAUGUAGUUGAUAAACCAUUACAUGAAAACUACCCAUGCUUUUCAGGACCUGAUGAUGAUUUGUACAAUUAAUAUAGAAAGACUUCCAGACUAUAAAAUAUCUUUGGCAACACUGACUACGUAUCCUGUAAGAUGUAGAAUUACAAUGUAGGUAUUACAGUUUAUAGAGUUUUACAGUUUUAUUAAGCUACUACAUUGGAGUCUUGCUAUAACAAGAUAAUCAGGAUCCAAUCAUGGGGCCAUGUUAUAGCAAUAUCCUAUUAAACUUCAACAUAAGAUAUAUUGAUUAAACACUUGAUUCACAUUGGUUAGUUAAGUUUUAGCUUGGCCUGGAAUUUUGGGGUCCACGAGAGAUUCAUGUUAUACUGAAACUUGCACUAUGGUGGUACACAUUAUAGUGAGGCUCCACUGUAUUAUAAGGCUGUAGUAUUAUUAUUCAUAAUUGUGUUGACUGGAUACAUCACUCUUGUGAAUACCAACAAAAUAAAAUUCUUCCCGAGAGUUGACAGUGGCUGUUGUGAAAUUGUUUUGAUAAACCUUUCUACUAUAAAAAGAAAUAUUAAUAAACAGUGAUGAGUAAUUGUAUAAAGACCCUUUUCAACACUGAAUUCUGUUUAAAGAAAACACUAGUACCUUCCAUUGACUCUUAAAGAUUAUAGUGCUGAAAUUAAUGACUGAGUCUUGAAGUGAUACUAGACUUUCACAAGUAAAUCUAAUGAAAUAUGUCACUCAUGGUUGAGCUUCAAGUUUCAGCACGUGAUCUUGAAACAUACUGAAAUGGUUCUAGGUAUAUAUUAAUAGUUUGUUUUCAAUGUGUAAAAUAAUUGCAUGUUACCAGUUUUAUAAAAAUAUCAUUAUAGUGGCUUAAUUGUGAAAGUUUAGAAAAUUCUUUGCAUAAUUUUGAAACUGUACUUUAAUAGUACGGGAGUAUUUGUGAUAUUUUGAAAGAGUGUAACAAAUCAACUGAUCUUAAUCUACUGUGGUUUCACUUGUUCAGUAUAGGUCUGAGUGUUGUAUUGAUAACUGUUGAUACCAAUUUAUUGUUCUCUCCUUUACCCAUCUUUUACAACAUGAACUGAAUUUAGUUUGUCACUUCCAACUUAGCUCGUCCAGUCAUUUUAAUUAAACUUGGAAGUGAUCUUUUAAGAUUUAACUUUCAGAGCUCGGUUGGUACAAGUUUCUUGUCAUUCAUGCACUGCAUUUCUCAGGUGAUGUAAAUUUGUUGUACUAAGUUUUUGUACUGAGCUUGAAUUUUCAAAACAUUUGUAGAAACAAAAUUUAUUCUAAGCAUGUGUAAGUACUAAAUGACAUUGGUCUUGGAAUCAAACUCUUAAAAUUAAUGAAAAUAAAAUCAUAGUUUUCAUUAACAGUCACAAGCUAUUCUAAGUCUCUAUUUUUAUGAUAAUAAUGGAACAUUGUUUUAAUAAAAAGUAGUUUUUUGAGAAUCACUUACUACAACAUUCCUUCAGUAUUAAAGUUUUGUAAGAUUUGUUUUGUGUGAAUAAAUUGUGUUUUGUUAAA
Limulus polyphemus (Atlantic horseshoe crab) is the source of this 4672-nucleotide RNA transcript. It is a transcript of the gene named dual specificity mitogen-activated protein kinase kinase 6-like, with no coding region annotated. The record is from RefSeq and is a predicted model, not a curated record. The transcript has 11 exons. Lineage: Eukaryota; Metazoa; Arthropoda; Merostomata; Xiphosura; Limulidae.